Molecule: small nuclear RNA, 103 nt
Filed under: Dasypus novemcinctus (nine-banded armadillo)
Lineage: Eukaryota; Metazoa; Chordata; Mammalia; Cingulata; Dasypodidae
Source: RNAcentral
UGCUCAUUUCGGCAGCAAUACACUAAAAUUGGAACGAUACAGAGCAGAUUACCAUGGCCCCUGCACAAGGAUGACACAGAUUUGUGAAGCAUUCUGUAUUUUU